AGCUACAGGCUUAACACAUGCAAGUCGAGGGGCAGCAUGGUCUUAGCUCGCUAAGGCCGAUGGCGACCGGCGCACGGGUGAGUAACACGUAUCCAACCUGCCGUCUACUCUUGGACAGCCUUCUGAAAGGAAGAUUAAUACAAGAUGGCAUCAUGAGUCCGCAUGUUCACAUGAUUAAAGGUAUUCCGGUAGACGAUGGGGAUGCGUUCCAUUAGAUAGUAGGCGGGGUAACGGCCCACCUAGUCUUCGAUGGAUAGGGGUUCUGAGAGGAAGGUCCCCCACAUUGGAACUGAGACACGGUCCAAACUCCUACGGGAGGCAGCAGUGAGGAAUAUUGGUCAAUGGGCGAGAGCCUGAACCAGCCAAGUAGCGUGAAGGAUGACUGCCCUAUGGGUUGUAAACUUCUUUUAUAAAGGAAUAAAGUCGGGUAUGGAUACCCGUUUGCAUGUACUUUAUGAAUAAGGAUCGGCUAACUCCGUGCCAGCAGCCGCGGUAAUACGGAGGAUCCGAGCGUUAUCCGGAUUUAUUGGGUUUAAAGGGAGCGUAGAUGGAUGUUUAAGUCAGUUGUGAAAGUUUGCGGCUCAACCGUAAAAUUGCAGUUGAUACUGGAUAUCUUGAGUGCAGUUGAGGCAGGCGGAAUUCGUGGUGUAGCGGUGAAAUGCUUAGAUAUCACGAAGAACUCCGAUUGCGAAGGCAGCCUGCUAAGCUGCAACUGACAUUGAGGCUCGAAAGUGUGGGUAUCAAACAGGAUUAGAUACCCUGGUAGUCCACACGGUAAACGAUGAAUACUCGCUGUUUGCGAUAUACUGCAAGCGGCCAAGCGAAAGCGUUAAGUAUUCCACCUGGGGAGUACGCCGGCAACGGUGAAACUCAAAGGAAUUGACGGGGGCCCGCACAAGCGGAGGAACAUGUGGUUUAAUUCGAUGAUACGCGAGGAACCUUACCCGGGCUUAAAUUGCAGAUGAAUUACGGUGAAAGCCGUAAGCCGCAAGGCAUCUGUGAAGGUGCUGCAUGGUUGUCGUCAGCUCGUGCCGUGAGGUGUCGGCUUAAGUGCCAUAACGAGCGCAACCCUUGUUGUCAGUUACUAACAGGUUCCGCUGAGGACUCUGACAAGACUGCCAUCGUAAGAUGUGAGGAAGGUGGGGAUGACGUCAAAUCAGCACGGCCCUUACGUCCGGGGCUACACACGUGUUACAAUGGGGGGUACAGAGGGCCGCUACCACGCGAGUGGAUGCCAAUCCCCAAAACCUCUCUCAGUUCGGACUGGAGUCUGCAACCCGACUCCACGAAGCUGGAUUCGCUAGUAAUCGCGCAUCAGCCACGGCGCGGUGAAUACGUUCCCGGGCCUUGUACACACCGCCCGUCAAGCCAUGGGAGCCGGGGGUACCUGAAGUGCGUAACCGCGAGGAGCGCCCUAGGGUAAAACUGGUGACUGGGGCUAAGUCAUAAC
RNAcentral lists this ribosomal RNA (1450 nucleotides) under uncultured organism. RNAcentral describes it as "SSU rRNA". It matches the Rfam family "Bacterial small subunit ribosomal RNA". The record is from RNAcentral.